GGGUUUACUCAUUGGUCAGGCUUAAUUGUCUGUACUGGUGAGAUGAGUCUCUACCUUCUGAGGAACUUUCAUGCCAUUUAUUUGGUGUGGUUGGAAAUCAGGACUGUUACUUUGAAAAAAUUAGAGUGUUCAAAACAAGCUUAUGCUUGAAUACAUUAGCAUGGAAUAACGGAAUAGGAC
RNAcentral lists this ribosomal RNA (180 nucleotides) under uncultured Glomeromycotina. RNAcentral's name for it is "partial small subunit ribosomal RNA". The stretch from base 48 to 180 matches the Rfam family "Eukaryotic small subunit ribosomal RNA", at positions 693 to 828 of the family's 1831-position model. Lineage: Eukaryota; Fungi; Glomeromycota. The record is from RNAcentral.